This 506-nucleotide ribosomal RNA is filed under the name uncultured bacterium. RNAcentral describes it as "partial 16S ribosomal RNA". It matches the Rfam family "Bacterial small subunit ribosomal RNA", at positions 29 to 523 of the family's 1533-position model. The record is from RNAcentral.
AUUGAACGCUGGCGGCAGGCCUAACACAUGCAAGUCGGACGGUAGCACAGAGGAGCUUGCUCCUCGGGUGACGAGCGGCGGACGGGUGAGUAAUGUCUGGGGAUCUGCCCGAUAGAGGGGGAUAACCACUGGAAACGGUGGCUAAUACCGCAUAACGUCGCAAGACCAAAGAGGGGGACCUUCGGGCCUCUCACUAUCGGAUGAACCCAGAUGGGAUUAGCUAGUAGGCGGGGUAAUGGCCCACCUAGGCGACGGUCCCUAGCUGGUCUGAGAGGAUGACCAGCCACACUGGAACUGAGACACGGUCCAGACUCCUACGGGAGGCAGCAGUGGGGAAUAUUGCACAAUGGGCGCAAGCCUGAUGCAGCCAUGCCGCGUGUAUGAAGAAGGCCUUCGGGUUGUAAAGUACUUUCAGCGGGGAGGAAGGCGAUAAGGUUAAUAACCUUGUCGAUUGACGUUACCCGCAGAAGAAGCACUGGCUAACUCCGUGCCAGCAGCCGCCGUAA